Long non-coding RNA from Grammomys surdaster, 549 nucleotides. RefSeq lists it as uncharacterized. The transcript is spliced from 2 exons. NCBI's taxonomy places the organism in Eukaryota, Metazoa, Chordata, Mammalia, Rodentia, Muridae. The record is from RefSeq and is a predicted model, not a curated record.
UGGAAAUCCAAAAGAAAUAGAAAGGGUAGUAACAAGUUGAGUUACUGGAAUUCAACAAUUGCUGCUUUCUGCCUUUGAAUGUAAUAUGACCAGGGUCUCAUGUUCCGGUGUUCCAGCCUUCCUUCCACCAUGAUUGUGCUCCACCUUAACUAUAUCACAAACUUCAAUCAAAAAGUAGAAGUAACAGCAGCAACCUGCAAGCCAAAUCAGACACAGAGUCCUUCCAGAAGUCAAAGAUCAAGAAAGGCAAGACGUCUGUGGGUCACAAGAAGCCAAAGAUGCCUUAGAGUAGCUGCAUGCUACUAAGAAACCAGUAGCUGAGAAGGAGCCAGCAGAGAAAAAACAUACUGCAAGAGAAAAGUGUUCUGCAGAAAUCAUCAAAAUCUGUUUCAUCCAUAGAGAAAACCUUCAACCUAUUUGAAUAAAAAUCUGAUCAAAGACAUAAUGAGAAACAAAAUAAAUGAAUAAAACAAUGCAAAGUGCUCAAUAACAAGAAAACUGCAAUUAUAUUUGGGCAAAUGUUAUGAAUAAAUAGUUUUCAAGAGAAAA